Molecule: long non-coding RNA, 6517 nt
Filed under: Homo sapiens (human)
Lineage: Eukaryota; Metazoa; Chordata; Mammalia; Primates; Hominidae
Description: HSALNT0120195
Source: RNAcentral
GGGAGAGAAGGCAGGGUGGCAGGAGUGGAGACCAUGAGCAUUUGAGCCACUUCCUUAUGUAACUUACUUGUGCCUUCAGGACCUGCUCGAGCCCGAUUACGUAUAUACCACUUCCAUUUGUUGAUGGAAUGCUGCUGUGCACCACCCACUUUAUGGCUAGAUGGGUCAGAAAGCACCCAGUUCAUGACAGGCAGUUCAGGUUUACAUGGUGACUUGAUGACCCAUAGCCAAUGUUCAGUUUCCACCAAGGCCCAGUAACAGGCCAAGAGCUGUCACUCAAAAGGAGAGUAGUUAUCUGCAGAAGAAAAUUCUCCAUUCUCCUCUUCCCCCAGCCCCUGGCAACGUCUGUUCUACUUUCUGUCUCUAUGAAUUUGCCUAUUCUAGGUACCUCAUAGAAAAUACUUGUCCUUUUGUGACUGACUUAUCUUACUUAGCAUAAUGUCCUCAGGUCCAUCCAUUUAACUUAAGGCUGAAUAAUAUUCCAUUAUACACACACACACACACACACACACACACAAACAUCACAACACAUUUCGUUUAUCCAUUCAUCCAUUGAUGGACACUUGGUUUGCUCCCACCUUAUGGCUAUUGUGAAUAAUGCUGUGACAUAAGUGUACAAAUAUACGUUCUUAUCCCUGCUUUCACUUCUUUUGGGUAUAUACCCAGACGUGGAAUUGUAUGGUAAUUCUAUGUUUAAAAUUUUGAAGAAUCAUACUAUUUUCUACAGCAGCUGUACCUGUUAAUUCAUUUUCUGCUACAUAUAUUUUAUAGUAUAAAUAUAAUCUUUAGAUAUUGCCAAACUUUUUUCUAAAGUGGUUUGCUAAUAUAUAUAUAACCAUCAACAGUGGAUUAAGAAUUCCUAGUGAUCCAUAUUUUUGCCAAUACUGAGUAUUAUCAGAUUUCUUUAUUUUUGCCAAUUCAGUGGCUUUAAAAUGAAUAUCUUAUGAUAGCCUUGAUUUUAAUUUCCUUGAUUAUCAUUGUGAUUACUCCUCAUUUUAUACGUUUGAAAGUUUUAUUUUUCACAUGGAAGUCUUUGGUCCAUUUAGAAUUAUUAUUUUUGAGAUGGAGUUUCCCUCUUGUAGCCUAGGCUGGAGUGCAAUGGUGCAAUCUGGACUCACUGCAACCUCCUUCUCCUGGGUUCAAGUGAUUCUCCUGCCUCAGCCUUCCGAGUAGCUGGGAUUACAGGCGCCAGCCACCACACCCUGCUAAUUUUGUAUUUUUAGUAGAGACGGGUUUCACCAUGUAGGUCUCGAAUUCCUGACCUCAAGUGAUCUGCCCGCCUCGGCCUCCCAGAGUGCUGGGGUCACAGGCAUAAACCGCAGCGCCCAGCCCAUUUAGAAUUAUUUUUUAUGUAUCGUGUAUGAUACGGGGUCUACUUUCAUUCCUUUGUUACACGGACCACUGAGUGUGCUGGCUCCAUCCUUUUCCCAGUGUACCUCUUACAUGCCAGGUUUCUGUAUCUGGUGGGUCUGCCUCUGAGCUGUCCAUCUGUUCCCUUAGUCAAUUUGUCCACUUAGGUUAAUGGCAUCUCCCUCUAUAGUGAUGGAUCAAGAGGGACUGAUGCUGGGUUAAUCAAGCACUUAUCCCGUACUGUAAUCGCACCUGCAUAUGGACUGUGUGGUUAGAAUUGGCCCGCUGGCUUAAUAAAACAUGGUCCAUGCACUCAUGGAGCUCCCAGACACAUAUUUAAAUCCUGAUGCAAUGUAAUAGUGUGGCAAUGGAAGAAUAUUUGAAAUGUUAUGAGAAAAAAACAGUGAAGGAAACAAUUAAUUCUAGGAAGAGGGUGUCCAAGAAGGUAACAGUUAUGGAAGCUGACUAUGUCAAACAGUAGGUGUAUAACAUCAUGGGUGAGAGCUGAGAUCUAGAGGUAGACAAACUCAUAUUUGAAUCCAAGCACCCACACUCAUUAGCUGUGUGACCCUGACAAAUCCCUGAGACCUCGAUGAGCCUUGACAUCCUUACCUAUCCCACAGGGGUAAUAAUAGUGCCUACCUCAGAAGGUUGUUGGGAAAAUUAAAAUACAUCAUGUGUCAGGAGCACAUAGCAGUACCUGACGUAUUGUUAAGUGCUCAGUAAACAUAAACCUCUGAAUUCAUCCAAUAAUACUGAGUACCUUCUGUGUGCCAGACAUGGUAAUAGGCAUAAAUACAAGUCUGAGCAAAGCAAAUGGUCUCAGCACUCAUGUAGUUUUCAGUGGGAUAGAUAGGUGCUCAUCAAAUAAUGACACAAUUAGAUCAUGAAAGACUUUGAUGAGAACUACAAAGGGAAAUUAUAUAGUAAGCUAAGACAGAGUUGAAUAGGGAAAUGUGAUUUAUGAUUAUUAUUUUCACUACUUCUGAGCCAAAACUUGAAGGAUGAUUAGGAGUUUCUGGGGGAGUGGCAGGAGGGGAAGGUCAUUCAGGCAUUCUGAACUUCAGAGGAAAAGGCCUGGAAUGGGGAAAGCUCUUCCCAAAGUCAGGGGCAAGGGCAAAGUACUCCUCACUGCCCAGAGGCUUCAGGGGGAUUUUUCUUACCCACCUUUCCCAGGAGACAGGCAAGAAAAGGAAGCCGAGUGACUGCCUGUGGCUCCCAAAACAUGUCUUGGCACUCAGUGAACCCCAGUUUUUGGUCAGUGUGAAAAAUUCUCAGUGCCAUUGGCCAGCUCCUUGGUAAUAAUAGGCUGAACAUGAAUGGCGAAAAUGGCUCAAAUUGAAUUGCAAUGAAGUCUUUUUGAUGUAAGUGUUGAUUAGAAAAGGAUUUAGGACUGACUUUAAUUCGGUGCUCCAAAGCUCAAAGAUUAGAAAAAAAGCACUCAGAGAAAAGAAAGUUGUGAUUAAAGGUUUUCCUAAGACAUACGUGAAGUAUUUUGACAGGCUGACAGUGAACACUAUUUCUCAUUUAGAGUAAAUGUGAUUAAGAGUUAUAUUUGCAAGAAGGGAAAACUAGGUGAGUAUGAGGGAUUUUGUUCUGGAACAAGUACAAUCCAAUAGCUCUCAAAUUUUAGUGGAGCCUGCUAGCAAAUUUAGGCUCCUUGGCCAUCCCCUAGACUCGGUGGGAGUGCCCUGGGCCCAGGGCUCUGCAUUUUUAACCAGUGCUCCGUGCCACCCUACCCCCAACCUGCCCAAGGGAUUUCUGAUGCUGGAGAAUUCACUGUGAAAAACCUUAUAGACUUAAGUCUUUAACUCUUUCCUUUCUUUGUCUUUGCUUUCAAAUUCCUUUUUUAGAAGGAUCUCAAGAUUGGGCUCUGGCAGGGUAUGGUGGCUUAUGCCUGUAAUCCCAGCACUUUGGGAGGCCGAGGCCGGUGGAUUACCUGAGGUCAGGAGUUUGAGACCAGCCUGACCAACAUAGUGAAAACCCAUCUCUACUAAAAAAUUAUAAAAAUUAGCCAGGUGUGGUGGCGGCCACCUGUAAUUGCAGCUACUUGGGAGACUGAGGCAGGAUAAUUGCUUGAACCUGGGAGGCGGAGGUUGCAGUGAGCCAAGGUCGUGCCACUGCAUUCCAGCCUGGGCAACAGAAUGAGACUCUGUCUCAAAAAAAAAGAAUGGGCUCUUUCUUUUCCAUUUCUCCUCACCUCCCUCAGUGUCAGCUGGGCACCUUAGGCAGGAUUUCUUGGACAGGUAGCAUGAGCAUGUGAAACUGGGAGGGUGGGAAACAGGAAUUAAGCUGAUCGGGCAGCCAGCCUAUCCCAGCCAAGUCAAUCUGCUUUUCUACACAUUGUUCUGGCCAAAAACACCUAUCUUUAAGCUUUAUGCUGCUCACUGCUGCCAACUGGCCACCCAACCAUGGAUUCAUAUAAAAGUGUUGGAGUUAACAGCAUAGGCUCUGGACUUGGGUGACUUCAGUUAGAGUCCCAGCUCUGCCACUUACUAACAUGCAACCUUGGACAAAUUACUGAACCCUUCUGAGCCCUUCCUUCCCUUCUGGUGUGGAAAGGCUUCUGUGAGGAUGUAACAGGGUAAUAAGUGAGUGUGUCUGGCACAGGCGCUGGCAUAUAGUGAGCAGGCAACAUGGGGCACGCUCCUACCCAUCGCAUGGAAGGUGGACAGCACGCUCCUACCCAUCGCAUGGAAGGUGGACAGCACCAGGCAGACAUCUGGUCCUGCACACAGUCCCUCUUGUUCUGACUGCUGAACUUUUGCUGUUACUUCUUCUCGGAUAAACUUCCAUCUCAUUCUCAUAUUCAUUUUAUUUAUUUAUUUAUUUAUUUGAGACAGGGUCUCACUCUGUCACCCAAGCUGGAGUGCAGUGGUGUGAUCACAGCUCACUGCAGCCUUGACCUCCCAGGCUCAAGCAAUCCUCCCACCUCAGCCUCUGCCUCCCACAUUCCUGGGAUUACAGGCAUAAACUACUGUACCCAGCCAUAGUUCCCAUAUACAUUUAACUAAAUUAUUUUCAGAGCUCAACUGAAGUCCCAUUUCUAUGAAAUCUUUCACUGCAGCAGUAGCUUUAGCUUCCAGAGAUGUUUUCUUUCUCUAGAUUACUGUUAUGGCUUUAAUCCACACCUGCCCCAUUUAGGUUCUGGUUACAUUCUGCUUUAUACUGAUUUUUAAUCAUUACAUGGGCAUUUUGUCAUCUCAUCUAAAAUAAAACUCUUGGAGGUCAGGGUCAAUAUUUUGCUUCUAGUAACUGCAGGAAAAACCUGUAUACAUGAAAAGGAGGUAGAAGUUUGCAUUGCCAAGCUGGGUGUGGUGGCUCACGCCUGUAAUCCCAGCACUUUGGGAGGCCAAGGUGGACAGAUUUCUUGAGCCCUAGAGUUUGAGACCAGCCUGGGUAGCGUGGUGAAACUCUACAAAAACUACAAAAAGUAAAUCAGACAUGGUGGUAGGUGCCCGUAGUGCCAGCUACUUCAGGAAGCUGAGCCCAGGAAGUUGAGGCUACAAUGAGCUGUGAUCGAGCCAUUGCACUCCAGCCUGGAUGACAGAGUGAGACCUGUCUCAACAACAACAACAACAACAAAAGGAGUUUGCAUUGACUAGCUUGAGGUACUCUCUUUUUCUUUCGAGAUGGGGUCUUGCUCUGUUGCCCAGGUUGGAGUGCAGCGUCAUGAUUAUACUUCACUGCAGCUGUGAUCUCCUGGACUCACGCAAACCUCCCACCUCAGCCUUCUGAGUAGCUGAGACUACAGUUGUGCGCUACCUACCAUGCCUGGCUAAUUUUAUUUUUAUUUGUUAUUAUUAUUUUUUUAGAGACAGGGUCUCACUAUGUUGCCCAGGCUGGUCUUGAAUUCUUGGGCUCAAGCGAUUCUUCUGCCUCAGCCUCCUGAGUAUCUGAGAGUACAGUCUCGAGCCACCAUGCCCAGCUGAUGUAAUUUUUCUUGCCUAGUGAAGAGUGAAGGCUCUGAAUUUUCAUAAUUCUCAUAUAUGAAUUCUUAAAUAAUUUUCAAAGAAUCAUGCAUUCUUUAUAUUCGAUUUCACAUUUCACAUAUACAGAAAUAUGUGAAAUUCAUUAGCAAACUAUAUCUACCCCUUUCUCCUCAACACACGCACACUCCAAAGGAGGGACAAUUGGAAGCCAAGAUUAUCAUAAAAAAGCUGUUGGUACUAGGAUGCUAAUCUCCGCAGUUUCCACUGGGGGCCGGUGUCCUCUCCUCUUAUGUGCACACAUGCUGAUGCGGGGGGUUGUCAUCCUCAGUCCCAACCCCUUCCUGGUUGGUUGUGAAUGGGUCUGGAGGCUUCUGGUGGCUGUCCCUAUCACUGCCCCACUGUGGCUGUACUCUGAGGCAGAGGCUCUGCAUCACUGCUCUUCAAAUGUUUUGCUUAGACACUGUUCUCUUCCCAUCCCCAAAAAGGACACCCUCUUCAAGCAAAAUGCCCUCAGCCAGCAGUUGACAGUCUGCACUGAAUAUUAUCACAGCUGCUCAGAAGCAGGUUGGCAGUUCCUGGGAGGCUGGGCUGGGGGCAUUUGCGUGACACAUCCCUGUGUGGCAGUCUUCACUUUCGGUCUUGAAAUAAAGCAUGCAACUUUUGAAUUUCCUCUACCUUAGUUUUCUGUCUUCUGGGGACAUUGUUUCCAAAAGGGCGGCUUUCAGAGGUCUCAACCUCAUGGUCUGGGAGCUUGAUCUUUCAUCCCCAGCCCUUUCCCUUUUCCUCCUGGGAAGCCCAACGUCUUUCCUGCAAUGUGACUUCUACAGGCCUGCUGUGGCAUCCCAGUGACAUCCAGGAAAGGCCCCCCCUUCAUCUUGACACCAAAUGUAAGCAUCCAAGGUAAGCAUCCUGCCAUGAAGUGGGUCUGUAUCUGUGUCUCUGAACCAUGGGGCAGUAUAUCUGCUAUCUUUUUCCGGUAAUUAAACCUUCCUCUUGUGCCCCAGUUUUACUCACUGGGCACCUGCAUUGUUCCCCUCUGCCAGAAUCCACGUUGGUAUUUGUCUCUUUGUUCCUCUGGAAUCAGACUUCCAGGCUGCACCCUGGACUUGGGUCUCAUCUGAGCUCUGCCCGUUUCCUGCUAUCGUACUUCCUGAAACUGCAGGGGUCACGCAGACUGGUGGCCCCUGCCUACCCUCGGCCCCGCUGUCUAAGCAGCCACGCUGGGUCCCUGGGGC